Molecule: long non-coding RNA, 712 nt
Filed under: Trifolium pratense (red clover)
Lineage: Eukaryota; Viridiplantae; Streptophyta; Magnoliopsida; Fabales; Fabaceae
Description: long non-coding RNA (TPRA_LNC007963)
Source: RNAcentral
CAUUUUAUUGGACCUUUUUGUGGAAAAUGUCAUUUACAUUUAGAAAUCAUGACUUCUUCUGUUGCUAAAUUCUACAUGUUCCUCUGUCUUGUUCUUCUCCUUAUUUCCUCAUGUGGUAAAAACUAAGUUACCUAUAUUUCUCUCAUGCUUUAUUCUUUAAUAUUCUUUCACCAAAAAAAAUAUUUAAUAUUAAUAUUUUUCUUUUGAUGUGAAGUAACGGAAGCAAAACUUUGUGGAAGGCCAAGUAGAACAUAUUUAGGUCCUUGUACUGACUGGGACUGUGAUAAAGAGUGCAUUGAUUCGGAGUUGGAUGCAAUGUUAGGUUCUUGUGAAGGCUCUUAUUGCUUCUGCUUCUUCAAUUGUUGAACACUAGGUUUUAGAUCAAGCAAUUAACCACCGGUGAUUUGCAUGCGACAGUGAAUGCAGGCCUCGACGAGUUUAUGCUGCUCUGCGUCUUUCUUCUGAAGACGAGACAACUCUGCACCUGGUUUCUGGUUGUUCAUGGGGUCUGUUUAGUUAUCUGAGGUGGUUGCGCCCUGGUUUAGUAAUUCUGUUUUGCACCUAGAGGUUGUUAGUAGCUAGAUUUUGCCUUUUUCCCUCUAUGUUUUUGUGUUUGCUAUUGUUCCAUUUUUAGGGUCCAUUCGGAUUGAUUUAUUUUUGAGUUUAUUCCAAAAUAACUUAUGCAAAUAAAUAAGUUUUUAUGUAUUAGUAU